GCGAGAGUGGCGGAACGGCAGACGCGCCAGGUUCAGGACCUGGUGUCCGCAAGGAUGUGGGGGUUCAAAUCCCCCCUCUCGCACCA
RNAcentral lists this transfer RNA (86 nucleotides) under Bacillota bacterium. Its description in RNAcentral is "Firmicutes bacterium (anaerobic digester metagenome) tRNA-Leu". It matches the Rfam family "tRNA". From Rfam's summary of the family: Transfer RNA (tRNA) molecules are approximately 80 nucleotides in length. Their secondary structure includes four short double-helical elements and three loops (D, anti-codon, and T loops). Further hydrogen bonds mediate the characteristic L-shaped molecular structure. tRNAs have two regions of fundamental functional importance: the anti-codon, which is responsible for specific mRNA codon recognition, and the 3' end, to which the tRNAs corresponding amino acid is attached (by aminoacyl-tRNA synthetases). tRNAs cope with the degeneracy of the genetic code in two manners: having more than one tRNA (with a specific anti-codon) for a particular amino acid; and 'wobble' base-pairing, i.e. permitting non-standard base-pairing at the 3rd anti-codon position. The record is from RNAcentral. Lineage: Bacteria; Bacillati; Bacillota.